Molecule: long non-coding RNA, 434 nt
Filed under: Pan troglodytes (chimpanzee)
Lineage: Eukaryota; Metazoa; Chordata; Mammalia; Primates; Hominidae
Description: long non-coding RNA NONPTRT001394
Source: RNAcentral
CUUUAAUCCCAAUGAAAGAGUAGACACCCACAGGAGUGACAGUAUUUAAAUCAGUGGCUUUAGGAGUAUGGUCCAGGGAGUCAAGAGGUUACAACUAUUUUUCCAAUUACACCAAGAUGUUAUUCACCCUUUUCACCCUCCACUUGUCAGGAGUGUGCAGAGGCUACAGGAUGUAAUGACAUCAUCACUCUGGUGACAAAUGGAAUGUGUAUUUCAAUGGGUCCAUGAAGCCCUGGGAUUGCAUGCAAAAUUUCUGUUUUAUGCAUUUUUCUGGGAAAAUUAGUACAAGCUAUCAUCAGAUACUCAAAUAAUGUUAACAGUGACUGCUAGAGAACAGAAUUCAAAGCCCUAAACUAGAAUCAAAAACUGCGAGAGCCCUAAAGGUCAUCCAGACUGACGUACCAUCUUGCAAAUGAGAAAAAGAAGUCCGAGGA